RNAcentral lists this ribosomal RNA (253 nucleotides) under uncultured bacterium. RNAcentral's name for it is "partial 16S ribosomal RNA". It matches the Rfam family "Bacterial small subunit ribosomal RNA", at positions 524 to 776 of the family's 1533-position model. The record is from RNAcentral.
UACGUAGGGGGCUAGCGUUGUCCGGAAUUAUUGGGCGUAAAGAGCUUGUAGGCGGUUUGUCGCGUCUGCCGUGAAAAUCCGAGGCUCAACCUCGGACUUGCGGUGGGUACGGGCAGACUAGAGUGUGGUAGGGGAGACUGGAAUUCCUGGUGUAGCGGUGAAAUGCGCAGAUAUCAGGAGGAACACCGAUGGCGAAGGCAGGUCUCUGGGCCACUACUGACGCUGAGAAGCGAAAGCAUGGGGAGCGAACAGG